This 67-nucleotide transfer RNA is filed under the name Potamophylax rotundipennis. RNAcentral's name for it is "tRNA-Leu". The record is from RNAcentral. Lineage: Eukaryota; Metazoa; Arthropoda; Insecta; Trichoptera; Limnephilidae.
AUUAUUUUGGCAGAAAAAUGCAUUAAAUUUAGAAUUUAAGUAUAUGAUUUAUUAGUCAUAAAUAAUA